This 498-nucleotide ribosomal RNA is filed under the name uncultured bacterium. Its description in RNAcentral is "partial 16S ribosomal RNA". It matches the Rfam family "Bacterial small subunit ribosomal RNA", at positions 28 to 507 of the family's 1533-position model. The record is from RNAcentral.
GACGAACGCUGGCGGCGUGCCUAAUACAUGCAAGUCGAGCGGACGAAUCGAAAGCUUGCUUUUGAUUCGUUAGCGGCGGACGGGUGAGUAACACGUGAGCAACCUGCCCUGUAGACGGGGAUAACACCGAGAAAUCGGUGCUAAUACCGGAUAACACGAAAUGUCGCAUGACGUUUCGUUGAAAGACGGCGCAAGCUGCCGCUACAGGAUGGGCCCGCGGCGCAUUAGCUAGUUGGUGAGGUAACGGCUCACCAAGGCGACGAUACGUAGCCGACCUGAGAGGGUGAUCGGCAACACUGGGACUGAGACACGGCCCAGACUCCUACGGGAGGCAGCAGUAGGGAAUCUUCCGCAAAGGACGAAAGUCUGACGGAGCAACGCCGCGUGAGCGAAGAAGGCCUUCGGGUCGUAAAGCUCUGUUGUUAGGGAAGAACAAGUAACGCAGUAACUGGCGUUACCGUGACGGUACCUAACGAGAAAGCCACGGCUAACUACGUG